This 66-nucleotide transfer RNA is filed under the name Penaeus japonicus. RNAcentral's name for it is "tRNA-His". It matches the Rfam family "tRNA". Rfam says of the family: Transfer RNA (tRNA) molecules are approximately 80 nucleotides in length. Their secondary structure includes four short double-helical elements and three loops (D, anti-codon, and T loops). The record is from RNAcentral. Lineage: Eukaryota; Metazoa; Arthropoda; Malacostraca; Decapoda; Penaeidae.
GUUUAAAUAGUUUAAAUAAAACGUCGGUUUGUGGAUCCGAAAAUAUGAUAAAAUUCAUUUUAAAUC